RNAcentral lists this ribosomal RNA (253 nucleotides) under uncultured bacterium. RNAcentral's name for it is "partial 16S ribosomal RNA". It matches the Rfam family "Bacterial small subunit ribosomal RNA", at positions 524 to 776 of the family's 1533-position model. The record is from RNAcentral.
GACGGGGGAUGCAAGCGCUAUCCGGGCUCACUGGGCGUAAAGCGUCUGUAGGUGGUGAUGCAAGUCACUGGUGCAAAACUCUGGCUCAACCGGAGGAAAGCCAGUGAAACUGCAUGACUAGAGUGUGGGAGAGGUAGAAGGAAUUCCCUGAGUAGCGGUGAAAUGCGUAGAUACAGGGAAGAACACCGGAGGCGAAAGCGCUCUACUGGAACACAACUGACACUGAGAGACGAAAGCUAGGGGAGCGAAUGGG